This 848-nucleotide ribosomal RNA is filed under the name uncultured organism. Its description in RNAcentral is "bacterial SSU rRNA". It matches the Rfam family "Bacterial small subunit ribosomal RNA", at positions 13 to 873 of the family's 1533-position model. The record is from RNAcentral.
UUGAUCCUGGCUCAGGACGAACGCUGGCGGCGUGGUUAGACAUGCAAGUCGAACGAGAAGCUCCCUUCGGGGAGUGGAGAGUGGCGCACGGGUGAGUAACACGUGAGCAACCUGCCGGNGAAGCCNCGGGAUAGCCCUCCNGAAAGGAGGAUUAAUACCGGAUGUGGCCACCCUGCGAUUGCAGGGGAAGCUAAAGGAUUAUUCACUUCCCGAGGGGCUCGCGGCCCAUCAGCUUGUUGGUGAGGGUAACGGCCCACCAAGGCGACAACGGGUAGCUGGUCUGAGAGGAUGGUCAGCCACACUGGAACUGAGACACGGUCCAGACACCUACGGGUGGCAGCAGUCGAGAAUCAUUCGCAAUGGGGGAAACCCUGACGAUGCGACGCCGCGUGGAGGAUGAAGGCCUUAGGGUUGUAAACUCCUGUCAAGAGGGAAUAAGCAAGUGAAGGUACCUCUAGAGGAAGGGGCGGCUAAUUCCGUGCCAGCAGCCGCGGUAACACGGAAGCCCCGAGCGUUGUUCGGAUUCAUUGGGCGUAAAGGGUGCGUAGGCGGCGCGGAAAGUCCGGCGUGAAAGGCAGAGGCUCAACCUCUGGACUGCGUUGGAUACUUCCGUCCUUGAGGACUGGAGGGGAGACUGGAAUUCACGGUGUAGCAGUGAAAUGCGUAGAUAUCGUGAGGAAGACCGGUGGCGAAGGCGAGUCUCUGGACAGAUCCUGACGCUGAGGCACGAAGGCUGGGGGAGCGAACAGGAUUAGAUACCCUGGUAGUCCCAGCAGUAAACGAUGUGAGCUUGAUGUGGGGGGAUUCGACCCCUUCCGUGUCGAAGCUAACGCGAUAAGCUCACUGCC